UAAUGGAGGCAGACUCCGCCUCCUCGUGAGCUGGGCCCCGAGAAAGGAAAGGAGGAGGUGUAAAAGGCGGCGCUAUACUCUCAUCUCCCCCUUCUUCUUCUUCUAUUUCCACUCGCCUCAAUAGAAAUGGCGCGGUUGCUAGGGCUAGCGCUGCAACGCACCUUGCCGCCGUUGCUACGCGAGGUGCGACAGGUAGCCAAUGGUCUCUCUGAACUCUGCUCUCCUCCCUAUCACCGUGAACCGGUGGAGGUGAGAGCAAGGAGUGCUUCAAAGGGAAAUUGAGGCUGCUAUUGUGAGAAGACAGCCGAGCUAAUUAGAAAGGCUACAGUCCACCACUGAACAUUGCAUAGGAACACAGCGCCAAUGAACCUACAGCCAAUCUUGCACCUGGGCGAGAGCGAAGAGAUUUACAGGCUGGCUGGCUAGCUGUCAGAGAGUGGUGGAACAGUCAUCUUAACAAAUGCUGCUAAAGUGCACACAAGACUGUGAACUCCCAGAGAGCCGGUCAGUACCCUUUUUCUUGUUAAAAUAUUUAUCUGAUGCAAGCACUGCUGCACUUGAUUUAGUGUGAAAGCUGGAUGGGGCAUGUUUAAGGGGUAUAGCACAGUAAGAGUUUUGAUUUAACCCAUGGACAUCUGCUGGGUGGCCUAGUGUGCCUUAGUCAUAAUGCUUAGCCCUAAAGUUUUCUUUAUGAAUAGUUUGACUGCAUAUAACGUUACCCUCUAAACCAGUAUUUUUUAGACUCUGAACAUUCAUGCUCCCUUUGGAGGUCCAAUUUCUCUUAUAAGAAAAGUUACAGCCAUAUUACAUUAUUAUAAGUCGACACUUUUACAGAAAAUGUGUGCAUACAAAAUUGAUACCCAGACUGGGCUUCCAGAGUAUCUAAAAGAGCAAAUAAGCAUUCUCCUAUAGCUCACCUUAACUUGCUAUCAGGUUGGGAGCCUAGUCACUGUGCUUGGCAACACUAAGUGCCACAGAGUUCAGGGAUCAUAUUUACUAAAUAUUGUACUUUAUAUGUAUGUAUCUUUGUAUGUACAAAAAAAAAUUAUCAACUAAUUGACUGCAAUAGCAACACUGUAAAUUCUCCCGUUUGUGCAUCAGUUGUGCUGACUCAAACAGGUGUAUGCCCAUAAGUGCCUCUACAGCAGCUUCAUUGUACAGAUAUGGGUCUAUUAUAUAGAAAUACAGAAAUGCAAUUUCCAAGUCCUAUUUCAACAAACCGUUUUUAAAAUGAUUUUCUUAAAGGGGUUUUAGA
Xenopus laevis (African clawed frog) is the source of this 1255-nucleotide long non-coding RNA. RefSeq lists it as uncharacterized. NCBI's taxonomy places the organism in Eukaryota, Metazoa, Chordata, Amphibia, Anura, Pipidae. The record is from RefSeq and is a predicted model, not a curated record. The transcript is spliced from 3 exons.